GUUCUAGCUAUAAAAUUCAUAAAAUACUUUAAUAAAAGCUCCAUAAAAUGUCAACACCCUGUCUGAGAUUCUGUCCCAUUUGAAAUGAAAACCAAGGCUAACAUAAACAAAUUACAAAGAAGUUAGUUUUUGAUAUAUAAAACCCAGUUUUUAGAAUAUGAUGCUAUUUUUGAUGAAAUAGUGAAAGAGAACAAAGCUGGAUUUGACUUGAUUCUCUUGAUGAUACAGUCAGAGUUUAUAAAUCUGUGUUGCUCCUGUGUCUGCACAGACAGAAUCUGGAGAUGUUAAUUUUUUGUCAUUUGGCUUCUAGAUGUCCUUGGCGUGUACACCCUGUGGAAUCUGGUUCAUCUUCAAUCUGUCAGAAGGCAUCAGAGGUGGUUUUGACUCCUUAUGUCUUGGACCUGUGCACAAAAAGUACGGGCAGGAGAGGAUGCAGGAGACUGUACAAAGUUCAAGAAACGAUAUGCUUUAAUCAAGGUAAGAAACUGGGAGAAGAGAGGAAGUGGCAAAUAUGUUUAGGUUAUAUGAGAUUCUUAUAGAGAAUGAAAGGGAAUUCAUUGAGGCCACAUUUUAGAAGGUUGUGAUCAGAAUGUUUUGUUUAUCCUAUAUCUAAUGAUUUUUGAUGAAAAAUUUACAAACAGGAUAAAAUGCUCUUUUAGGGAGACUGACCCAGUGGCAGGACGUGAUAUAAAUUAAAGGGAUGGGGGCCUAACAUUUGUUCAUAGUCUCAUUUUUCCCCCCACAUGACUAAAUAUUCAUGUUCUCCUUUGUUUUUCUCCAUGGAUGGAGUCUCCAUCCAUAAAACUGCUUCACAGAGUUUCACCUCCUGCCUAUGCUGACAGGGGCCUUCCUCUCUUUCCUGGGUGUGGGUGGCAGUGUCCGUAAAGCUGCCAGCCCUGAGUGUCACAAGAGUGCAGGGUGUGAGGAAACAGCAGGGAGAAAGGCUUUCCCCAACUCAGAAUCGCACUUGUGCCAAGAGUUACCCAAAGACUCUCAUGAAAAUAUUUCAAUAUCUCAGGCUUUCUAAGAAUCACAGGAAAUCUCUCAUAAGACUGUCCUGUUACUUUUUCACCUUUACCUCUGGAACCUUGAAUGCAUCAGGCAGGGAAUGAUGCCAUCGCCUUCAUUAUUCUUGUCUCCCCUAAUUUGAUGGCUUCUGGUCGCAACUAAACUUUUCUUGCUUAAUUAUAAAACAACAGUUCACACAAAUCAAUGGGGCUGGUGUGUAUUUAAUAUCAAUGAGUGGAAGAAGGGGUCUUCUCUACAGCUCAGCCACCCACCCAAAUGCUGUGUUUGAUUCUGGUUCUGUAAUCUGCUAUUUACAGUUAAGCCUCUGGAAAAGUAGCAAUUUAGGGGGUUUUCCUUCAUCUCACUCCCACUGUUCCCUUCCCUUAAUACACCUUUUCCCACUGGAGCAUAUUUAAAAGAGAUGCAAAUGCUUAAAAUAUGUUUGAGGAUAGGAGGGGUUUUUCAACUCCUGGCCCUUUUUGUAGGCUUAUUGACUGUUAGCACCUUUUUGUUAUUUAUAAAGAGGAAGAAGACUGAGAAUCUUUCUGCCAUGAUAUUUCUCAAAGUGUGCCAAAUAAGUAGAUUACUACCUGCCUUAUUCAUCUAUAAGAUGACUCUGUUCUGGUAACUUUGGCAUAGUUCUAUAAAAAGGGAAACUACCUGUUUAGACUUGCUUGGAAGUUAUCUAAUAAUUACCAAUUCAAAUGUAAUGGGAUUAAAUAUAUUGCUUUGAAAAUAAGAGGUAAAAUCAUUUUUAGGUGUAUAUUUUUGGAAUGAUAACACUGUUUUAUAGUGUUUUAAUUUCAGUAGCACCAGUGUAACAGCUGAAUAGCUAUUAGAGAAAUGCAUUAAUUAAAAACUGUGGAUCAAUUAUGGAUGAGAAUUUCUUAUUAGUUUUUAUAUGGCCUUGUGCCUUUUUGAGGACUGUGAUUUUGUACAAAUUUUAAUUGAAGAUAUAUCUCUGCUUCUUCAUAACUCAUGAAAUUCAAUAUAUUCUCUCUUGCAGACAGCACCGAUGACUAUAUUAAUUUAGAAAGAACCAAGUUCAAGUGUCAAAAACAAGUUAAACCAUUGAUGUUAUUAGACAAUACCAAGUUCACCUAACAUUUAUGGAGCCCCUAGUCUAGCUAGACAUUAUGCUAUUAAAUGAUAUUGCUUACGUAACUUAUGAUUCUUCAAAGGGAGGAAUGACAUAGGUAUUCAUAUUCACAUUUUACAGAUGAGAAAUGUGAAAUCUGAACAAGUUAGAUGGUGACUCCAUGUCUAGUGAGUUACAGAGGUGGAAUUUGUAGCCAGAGUUCCUGAUGCUAAUGUGGAAGUUAAGAAGUGAUUUUGCUAUUAUUGAAUUUAUGACCUCAGUUUAACUCAUCUACCUCAAAAUCUGCAAAAGUUUUCUGGAACUAUUAAAAGAGUCAACAUUCUUGUGAAUUAUUACACAUAUUUGGUGGAUGAGGGCAAAAUAUGAGAAAAUUACAUUCUUCUUUCUGAUAGGAAUAUUCCUUUAAGUAAAUAAACAGCAUAUACUUCCUUUUUAAUUAUUAUUUUUAGGCGAUAAAAGGCAAUUAAAUAACCCGACUAUAAUUUUAUUAUUAUGUUUUAG
Molecule: long non-coding RNA, 2608 nt
Organism: Pan paniscus (pygmy chimpanzee)
Lineage: Eukaryota; Metazoa; Chordata; Mammalia; Primates; Hominidae
Source: Ensembl